Molecule: ribosomal RNA, 303 nt
Filed under: uncultured bacterium
Lineage: Bacteria
Description: partial 16S ribosomal RNA
Rfam family: Bacterial small subunit ribosomal RNA
Source: RNAcentral
AGCAGCAGCCGCGGUAAUACGUAGGUGGCAAGCGUUGUCCGGAAUUAUUGGGCGUAAAGGGAGCGCAGGCGGACAUAUAAGUCCAUCUUAAAAGUGCGGGGCUCAACCCCGUGAGGGGAUGGAAACUGUAUGCCUUGAGUGCAGGAGAGGAAAGCGGAAUUCCCAGUGUAGCGAUGAAAUGCGUAGAUAUUGGGAGGAACACCAGUGGCGAAGGCGGCUUUCUGGACUGUAACUGACGCUGAGGCUCGAAAGCCAGGGGAGCGAACGGGAUUAGAUACCCCCGUAGUCCCUGUCUCUUAUACA